Molecule: long non-coding RNA, 2612 nt
Organism: Paramacrobiotus metropolitanus
Lineage: Eukaryota; Metazoa; Tardigrada; Eutardigrada; Parachela; Macrobiotidae
Exons: 3
Source: RefSeq, a predicted model, not a curated record
CUUGGGAUUCACUUCUUGAGACUGUUUUUUAAUUACAAUUUCCUUGUGUUGUGGACUAUGUUGAGAAUUGGAUAAAGAGACAGCAAUACUUAAUUGUUCCUUCUGAUGUACAUGAUCGUUCCCGGAUUAUUGCAUAGAAUACUCGUGCUUAGGUUUGCUCGUGACACAAUCGUCCUAGCUCUUUUCUGAUCCUCAUAGAACCUGCGACCGGAAGUUGUAGUUGGAGUGUUCCUGCUUGGGGAUUCCUGAUUCUUGUGUUCCUAAGUCGUUCUUCAUUUCCACCAUAAUCUAGCUGUUACAGUUUGUUAUAAGAGUUGCCUACCGACUGACAUUACAGGCGUGGAAGAGUAAAGAUGGUUCAUGGAGCCUUAAUCGGCGUGAACGCUUAUACACGACAAUCCCAUAUGUCACUGUGUUUUGUGUUAUUAUAGUUAAUGUCUAAGUGGCGAGGAGUUUCGAUAAGCAGGAUGUAAUAUAAUGUAGGAAAUGACUAUUGUCACCCCCUUGCACCCCCUUUUGAUUAUUGCCACCCCCUUUAUUUUAAUAAAAUAAACACCCCCUUUGACUAUUGUCACCCCUCACAACACGCCCUUUUGGCUAUUGUCACCACCUUUCAAUUUAUCCUUAUAAUUUUGCCAUCAGCGGCUCUUUUUCAAUUUUAUUCGUGCCAGUUAGGUUGGCAUUUCUUGACCAGCGAUCGAGGCAAUCCUUUGCACGAAACAGCGGUUCCUUCUGGUGGACGUUCGAGGCCAUCGUGUGACGACAUGGAAGCCCGUCUGUACAUGAUGCGAGACAGUCACACUGAUACCGCAUGGUGCUUUCGUCAGAAUGUACGUACUAAGCAUUCUGCCCUUCGCGUGCGUUGGAACGGUCGUUUGCUCGUGGUCUUUGCCGUAUGCGCUUUGUGGCGGAUUUAUAAACUAGAGUCUUGCGCUGGGGAUCGUUUUCUGGCAACUUUUUCGAUCGAUCAAUGACGAAAGUCUGGUUGGUGGCUUAAGAAAACCUAAGAAAACCUAAGAAACUUAAGACAUCAAAACAAUAAGUACUAUAAUUAUGCAUAUUUUAUUCUAUCAAGUAUACUUACUAUCAAGUACUGUAAAAUACUAUUACUAAGUUGGCUGAAAGGUCAACCCAGCAACAAUGUUGAAAAAAAUGACCGACGAGUGGCAAUAGCCAAAGGGGGUGUUUAUUUUAUUUAAAAAAAGGGAGUGACAAUAGUCAAAAGGGCGUGCAAGGGGGUGGCAACAGCCGAAAGGGGGGGUGACAAUAGUCGCACCCUAUAAUGUAAUUCUGUGCUUAAUACAUCCUUCUGCAUACAGAGGUUUUAAUAUUGCAAACUAUUGUUUAUUACCUGCUUGCUCUAAUUAGCAAAUGUUUUGCAGUUUUAUUCUGUUUUGGAAAAACAAGACAACGAAACUGCAAUAUCUACAGAGUCUUGAGCGAAGCCGGUAACUUAUUGAAGAAGCCCUUGGUAAUGUUCUGAAAUCCGUUGCAGCCAAAUCCAGAACCUCCAGCUCGUUCAUAACUGCCAUGACAGGUUUAGUUUGCAAAUUACACCAGAUUACAAAAACACUGAUUUUCACUGUUGUUGGUAUUUAAUUUAUCCUUCUUACCACCACUGGUUCCGCUUAGCACCUCUUAUUUUCUUGCAUGUUUAGAUUGUCUUCCGGUUUUCUUGACGAAAUUGUUUUCUUGGACUCUUUAAACUCUAAAACGACUUAUAUCCAGUCUGGGAAGCAUUGCUAGGUAUGAACAGCUCCGGCCGGGUUUGAACGGUCAAACAGGUCGUACGCAAACGCCGCCGCAAAUUUGUAAACGGUCCUCAGUCGAAGUCUUAAUAGGUUUUGCGCUGCCGCGUACAGCGAACUCUCAGUUGUUGUUUGCAAUCGCAAAUGCAACUCCGGUAAUCCAUGGAUACGAAGACACCUGCCUGCUUAUGAGCUGUCCCUGGCUCUUCUAGAGUGGACAUUUCACUACUUUUCACUCGUUCCACAAUUCUUCAUGCUACCUUUUGCUCCAUGUGCUAACCUUUGGCACUACCUUUGGUUCCAUGCACAACGUGAUAUAACCUUUCUCGACGCUGCCUUUCGCUCCGUUCACAGAAUCACAACUUCUACUGGAUGUGAGAUCCAGAAUUAAUUUGAUUGAAACCGGGUUGACCCGUUGGAUUUCGAGCGACAGGAUUUCGAUGGAAUUCAAGGAAGCGAGGUAAACCAGCGUGCUUAUGUAAUCGCUGUCCAAUCUCCUUGGCUAACUAUCACCGGCCCCGACUUCCCCUGGCCUUAGCGUUUCGAAAGCUAGUGGCGCGAAUAGAUGUACCUAGCUUCCAGGCACGCGUAUAAACGGCUGGAUUUCUCAUCUUAAUUCUUCCGUCCGUGCUCUUGCAUAUCCCACAGCAACCGAAAUGGGUUUGAUGUGCAAGGAUGCGGCGCACAUUUUUUGCUGCACUACCAUUUUACUUGAUAAUACUCUUUGUGAGAUAUUAAUCGUUGUUGAUCAAAAUCAUGGUACAUAGUUACUGUGUUUGCAACUUUUGAUAGUAUAACUCUAAAUUGGUGUCUGUUAAGAAAAGAUAUAAUAUAGUAAACCAGGGUAUAUAGGCAGUAGAUAAU